UCCAUCGAACCAUCUCAUAUUUACAUUCUCAAGAUCCAAACCAUCAAUAUGUUCCAUUAUAAUCCCUGCUGUGCUGUGGUUCACAAGUCCCUGACAUCCUGGCCGAUAGUCAACCAACCCUCCCAUGUAUUUCGUCCAUCGUUUGUAUGUUAAGUUAAUGUUGAUGAAUCUCAAAUUCCUUAGCAGUCCACCUUUAGAACCUGAUAAGAAGAUACCGUUUUCGGAAACUGCGGAGAUGUUUACGAAGUUCAAGUUGGAGAUUGAACCCUCUGAUGAAUCUGAGUGCCGUGGGCAAGUCGUGACAUAAAUCGGUUCCGCCCUCCCCCACCAUGACGGAUCAUAGUAUCUCGUGCUGAUGUUUAUGUUUGAGAAAGUAACGUCACUUACAUUUCCUGCACAAACCAAAAAUUGUUCACUAAGCUAGCGUAAAACCAGGUAAUAUUGACGAUCAAAGAAGAAAAAAAACGAAAACCAGAUAGCGUUACCUCCAUCACGUAUCUGCAAUGCGAGCCCUCUAUGAGAAUCUACAAUAGUAAUGUUGUCAAAGACCAAAUUGUUUAACUCAAACCAGCUAGCACUUCCAAGUUUAAUUGCAGAAGAUUUGGUUCGAAUCCAGGAGUUGGUUGCAGUUAAGUUAUAUAGAGGGGAAGUGUAUGUCUUGGGGCAUAUAGCAUCAUCUCCUGUAUCAAUGUGGCAUCUUGUAAUCACUGUAUUAUUUGAAUCCUCAAUGUCUAUUCCAUCAUUG
RNAcentral lists this long non-coding RNA (745 nucleotides) under Gossypium barbadense (sea-island cotton). Its description in RNAcentral is "long non-coding RNA (GBAR_LNC008435)". Lineage: Eukaryota; Viridiplantae; Streptophyta; Magnoliopsida; Malvales; Malvaceae. The record is from RNAcentral.